Crotalus tigris (Tiger rattlesnake) is the source of this 1427-nucleotide long non-coding RNA. RefSeq lists it as uncharacterized. NCBI's taxonomy places the organism in Eukaryota, Metazoa, Chordata, Lepidosauria, Squamata, Viperidae. The transcript is spliced from 2 exons. The record is from RefSeq and is a predicted model, not a curated record.
AGUCAGCCAGAUGGUCAGAUUAGGUUUGGUAUUUUUGUCUACCUAUCGAGUCUUCUUUUCUCCUCCUCCUUCCUCUUCUCCUCUUUUCUUCUUCUUCCCCCUCUUCCCCUCCUCCUCCUCCGACUUAUUGUAGCUAAAAUGGUGGCAAAGUGGCACUCAGGCCAAGCUGUCCUACCUCCAGAUGUUCCCAACUUGAGGUCAAUUGGUGGCCCCAAAACUUCGGCAUCUCUGCUCUUUCGAACAGGCACAAUUUCUUAUCCUUUGUUACUACUUUUUUUGCUGUUCUAGUGCCAUCUCCUUUCUAUUUGGAGCCUCUGGGGUUUUUUUUUAGAAAAAGGUAUGCUUUUUAAAACUAUAUAUAUAUAUAUAUAUAUAUAUAAAACCUUUCUACACGAAAGCUGGUCGACACUGUUGAAGUACUCUUCCCACAAAACCUAUUUCAUAGCCUAGACUUGUAUUUUGUCAUUUAAGCUCUGAGAAGGAGCGAUUCGGGAGUGAUAGAGUAAUUCAUUUGAAAAUGAAUUUUCAUUUUUCGGGGAGCCUUUUUGGCCCUGAGUAACCUAGAAGACCGGGAUCUUGGCAAUUGAGGGUCCCCGCAUUAAAGUAUACUGUCACUCUCCUUCCCACCUCCCGUGCAAAUCUACAAGUCGAACUAAUUUUGCUCCCAAAUAUGCUAAAACGUUGAGAAACACUGCUAUAGGCUAUACAUCCCUGUCCCUUAACCUCAGCAACUUGAAGCGAUGUGGGCUUCAACACCCAGAAUUCCCCAGCCAACUGGCUGAGGAAUUCUGGGAGUUGAAGUCUACCCCCGCUUCAAGUUGCUGAGGUUAAGAGACCCUGCUGUAAAUGAACUCUGUAUGCCUAAAAUAACACCACCAAUUUUUAAUGUCACUCUCCUAGUUUUGAAUGCGUCAAGGAGCCGUGUCCGAUUUCCACGGGAAAAAUGCCAAUUUAGAUGGUUCCACGUUUCCGAUACCCCGUCCCGUUCCUUUCUUCCUUUCCCUUGGCAAACUGACUUGUAAAUACCUUUAUGAACAUAAAAAAUAAUUUGUACUUGACUGUAGGAUCGGAAGGAUUUGUGUUGUAUCUUACCUGAAAGUGUAAUAAAAGUGUACAUUUUUAUAACGUUCUUGUAAUUGUGGUUACCUAAUGUGUGCUUUGUCUCCUCAGGCCUUCCUCACUAUGACAUUUAGGGAGAUGGAGCCUUAAAUCUUGAAAGUUUUUUAUUUUUAAAUCAAAAUAGGUCUGGCCUCCGCCACCUUAUCGUCCACGCGAUGUAAAAUUGUUCCGUUGUGUUGAAACUUUGCUAGCUCUGCACCGUUAAAAAACUAUGCAAUAUCCCAACUGGAUAUUCCCAUGUUUCCGCGUCAGCCUUGAGGGAUGUUUUAAAGAGAAGAAUUUUAAAAAUACAUGUCUCGUUUUCUCUG